Molecule: ribosomal RNA, 463 nt
Filed under: Ameerega trivittata (three-striped poison frog)
Lineage: Eukaryota; Metazoa; Chordata; Amphibia; Anura; Dendrobatidae
Description: partial 16S ribosomal RNA
Rfam family: Bacterial large subunit ribosomal RNA
Source: RNAcentral
AUCCUAACCGUGCGAAGGUAGCGUAAUCACUUGUUCUUUAAAUGAGGACUAGUAUGAAUGGCCCCACGAGGGCUGCACUGUCUCCUUUUUCUAAUCAAUGAAACUAAUCUCCCCGUGAAGAAGCGGGAAUUAUCCUAUAAGACGAGAAGACCCUAUGGAGCUUUAAACAAUUGAAACAUUUGCUUUUCUCCUAACUCCUCCCGAGCCCUUUAUUUUUAUUUAAGCAUUAUUAUUUCUAGUUUUAGGUUGGGGUGACCACGGAGCAAAACUAAACCUCCAUGAAGAAAUGAAUAUUUUUAAGCCACAAACUACUUUUUUAAGCAUCAACAAAUUGACCUUCAUUGACCCAAUAUAUUGAUCAACGAACCAAGUUACCCUAGGGAUAACAGCGCAAUCUACUUCAAGAGCUCAUAUCGACAAGUAGGUUUACGACCUCGAUGUUGGAUCAGGGUAUCCUAGUGGG